UACAGAGGUGGCAAGCGUUGUUCGGAAUUACUGGGCGUAAAGGGCGCGUAGGCGGUCCCGUCAGUCCCUUGUGAAAUCCCCCGGCUCAACUGGGGAACUGCAAGGGAUACAGCGGGGGCUUGAGUUCGGGAGAGGGAAGCGGAAUUCCGGGUGUAGCGGUGAAAUGCGUAGAUAUCCGGAGGAACACCGGUGGCGAAGGCGGCAUCCUGGACCGGUAUUGACGCGUGAGGCGCGAA
Molecule: ribosomal RNA, 236 nt
Filed under: uncultured bacterium
Lineage: Bacteria
Description: partial 16S ribosomal RNA
Rfam family: Bacterial small subunit ribosomal RNA
Source: RNAcentral